Molecule: ribosomal RNA, 234 nt
Filed under: uncultured bacterium
Lineage: Bacteria
Description: partial 16S ribosomal RNA
Rfam family: Bacterial small subunit ribosomal RNA
Source: RNAcentral
UGAGCAAUCUGCCCUUCUCAUCGGAAUAAGCGUUGGAAACGACGUCUAAUGCCGAAUACGACCUCCUUUCGCAUGAUCGGAGGUGGAAAGCUCCGGCGGAGAAGGAUGAGCUCGCGGCCUAUCAGCUAGUUGGUGUGGUAAUGGCCCACCAAGGCGACGACGGGUAGCCGGCCUGAGAGGGUGACCCGGCCACACUGGGACUGAGACACGGCCCAGACCUCCGUACGGGAGCAG